CGAAUCUCGAAAGCCUAUCUCAGUUCGGAUUGGAGGCUGAAACCCGCCUCCAUGAAGUUGGAUUCGCUAGUAAUCGCGCAUCAGCCAUGGCGCGGUGAAUACGUUCCCGGGCCUUGUACACACCGCCCGUCAAGCCAUGGGAGCUGGGGGUGCCUGAAGUUCGUGACCGCAAGGAUCGACCUAGGGCAAAACCGGUGACUGGGGCUAAGUCGUAACAAGGUAAC
This 224-nucleotide ribosomal RNA is filed under the name uncultured bacterium. RNAcentral's name for it is "partial 16S ribosomal RNA". It matches the Rfam family "Bacterial small subunit ribosomal RNA", at positions 1268 to 1500 of the family's 1533-position model. The record is from RNAcentral.